Long non-coding RNA from Pan paniscus (pygmy chimpanzee), 1149 nucleotides. The record is from Ensembl. Lineage: Eukaryota; Metazoa; Chordata; Mammalia; Primates; Hominidae.
CCUUACUUUCCAGCUGUGUACAGCUUAGAGCAUUCAUUCAUUCAUUCAUUCGCCAUGAAUCAGAGCCUGUGCUAGGCUUUAGAGAUAGAGAUACUCACAGGCUGAAGAGGUGGGUGGGAGUAGGCUCAUGAUUGAUUCUACUUCCUCUUUAGGAUUUUAUUUUAUUUUAUUUUAUGUUUGUCGGAAUCUUGUUCUCUCGCCCAGGCUAGAGCACAAUGGCGCGAUCUCGGCUCACUGCAAUCUCUGCCUCCCAGGUUCAAGUGAUUCUCCUGCCUCAGCCUUCCGAGUAGCUGGGACUACAGCUGCCUGCCAUCGCGCCCAGCGAAUUUUUUGGAUUUUUAGUAGAGACAAGGUUUCAUCAUGUUGGCCAGGAUGAUCUCGAUCUCCUGACCUCGUGAUCUGCCCGCCUCAGCCUCCCAAAGUGUUGGGAUUACAGGAAUGAGCCACAGCACCCGGCCCAGGAAUUUCUUUAAAUAACAUCACUGCAGUUCCAGUUCCAGUUUCAGUUACUUCCAUUUCUGGAGGUAACUGGCUAACUGAAAGAGGAAAUGUUAUUGUUACCCUGCAGACUCAAGCUGAGUGGAGACACACACUGAACAGAUGACAUGCCAGCAAAACUUGCCCCAAAAGUUGGGGAGGGAAAUGGUGCUCAACUGAAGGCAGCUGCUCUUGGGAGAGUCUUGACAGAGACCUCUGCAGCGAUAGUGCCUGGCAUCAGUGAUUGAGGGGGAGCCAUCUGAUCAACUUUUGUUUCCGAAGGAAAACCCUGAGGAAACUCACUACCAUCCUCAGUGGCUGGUGGAUGGAUAAAGAGGUGGAAAGCAAGUUGAGUGAGCAGAAACUAUGAAGAGCCAUGAGCAGUUCCGGGGGAGCAGCUGCGAGCAUCAUGGAAGGCCUCUGCUCUGUCGGAGAAGCCGGGAUCCUCUUCAGCUUGGACACUACAUCAGUGACACUGGCAUCUCCCCCAUGCUAGAGGGAACUGCACAAGACACUUCAUUCUCUUUAAUCUGCUCUACCCCGUCAUAUACCAUUGUUUAUGAUGCUAACAAUUAUGAUGGUGCAAUAGCACACUCAGUGACUCAUCAGCUCCCGCCUUCCAGAGGCACUCAGCUCUCACAUACACGGUGAGUAAUGGCUCAUAGAGACAUU